UACGUAGGUGGCAAGCGUUGUCCGGAUUUACUGGGCGUAAAGAGCGCGCAGGCGGUCGGCCAAGUCGCGUGUGAAAGCCCCCGGCUCAACUGGGGAGGGUCACGCGAUACUGGUCGACUCGAAGGCAGGAGAGGGUAGUGGAAUUCCCGGUGUAGUGGUGAAAUGCGUAGAUAUCGGGAGGAACACCAGUGGCGAAGGCGACUACCUGGCCUGUUCUUGACGCUGAGGCGCGAAAGCUAGGGGAGCAAACGGG
This 253-nucleotide ribosomal RNA is filed under the name uncultured bacterium. Its description in RNAcentral is "partial 16S ribosomal RNA". It matches the Rfam family "Bacterial small subunit ribosomal RNA", at positions 524 to 776 of the family's 1533-position model. The record is from RNAcentral.